GAGUUUGAUCCUGGCUCCAGAUUGAACGCUGGCGGCAUGCCUUACACAUGCAAGUCGAACGGCAGCACGGGAGCUUGCUCCUGGUGGCGAGUGGCGAACGGGUGUGUAAUGCAUCGGAACGUAUCCUGGAGUGGGGGAUAACGUAGCGAAAGUUACGCUAAUACCGCAUAUUCUGUGAGCAGGAAAGCGGGGGGACCUUCGGGCCUCGCGCUCUUGGAGCGGCCGAUGUCGGAUUAGCUAGUUGGUGAGGUAAAGGCUCACCAAGGCGACGAUCCGUAGCAGGUCUGAGAGGAUGAUCUGCCACACUGGAACUGAGACACGGUCCAGACUCCUACGGGAGGCAGCAGUGGGAAUUUGGACAAUGGGGGCAACCUGAUCCAGCCAUGCCGCGUGAGUGAAGAAGGCC
This 406-nucleotide ribosomal RNA is filed under the name bacterium enrichment culture clone ALO1_GLFRUDD03GSI4F. RNAcentral describes it as "bacterial SSU rRNA". It matches the Rfam family "Bacterial small subunit ribosomal RNA", at positions 9 to 416 of the family's 1533-position model. The record is from RNAcentral.